RNAcentral lists this ribosomal RNA (501 nucleotides) under uncultured bacterium. Its description in RNAcentral is "partial 16S ribosomal RNA". It matches the Rfam family "Bacterial small subunit ribosomal RNA", at positions 29 to 523 of the family's 1533-position model. The record is from RNAcentral.
AUUGAACGCUGGCGGAAUGCUUUACACAUGCAAGUCGAACGGCAGCACGGACUUCGGUCUGGUGGCGAGUGGCGAACGGGUGAGUAAUACAUCGGAACGUGCCCAGUCGUGGGGGAUAACGUAGCGAAAGCUACGCUAAUACCGCAUACGAUCUAAGGAUGAAAGCGGGGGAUCGCAAGACCUCGCGCGAUUGGAGCGGCCGAUGGCAGAUUAGGUAGCUGGUAGGGUAAUGGCCUACCAAGGCGAUGAUGGGUAGCUGGUCUGAGAGGACGAUCAGCCACACUGGAACUGAAACACGGUCCAGACUCCUACGGGAGGCAGCAGUGGGGAAUCUUGCGCAAUGGACGAAAGUCUGACGCAGCGACGCCGCGUGGGUGAAGAAGGCCUUCGGGUUGUAAAGCCCUGUCGAUAGAGAAAAAGUCUUUACACAAUAAUAAGGUGUAGAGGUGAUGGUACCUAUAGAGGAAGCACCGGCUAACUCCGUGCCAGCCGCCGCGGUAA